AUGGCAAGGCAGCUUGAAGGUGGUCACGGCCAUCUCGCAGAGAUGGUGCAAGCUGUCAAGAAUCACGGUGCUGGGGCACUGCACUUCACCGCCGGGUGCAAGAUGGUGGAAGUGUGCGAGUACCUGUUGAGGAUGUCCAGGUGGACGUGGAUGUCGUUGACCAAGCAGGGUUGUUUUGCUGUCCCAAAGGCACACGGGAGUCUGCGGGAAAAAAACUGGCGACGUUUUCUCUUGGAUAUUCAGAAAAUGGAGACACUCGGCGACCAUCUCGCAGAGAUGGUGCAAGCUGCCAAGAAUCAGGGUGCUAGGGCACUGCACUUCACCGCCGGGUGCAAGAUGGUGGAAGUGUGUGAGUACCUGUUGAGGAUUUCCAGGUGGACGUGGAUGUCGUUGACCAAGCAGAUUUUGCCUAUUCUCUAA
RNAcentral lists this ribosomal RNA (420 nucleotides) under Triticum aestivum (bread wheat). Its description in RNAcentral is "partial small subunit ribosomal RNA". The record is from RNAcentral. Lineage: Eukaryota; Viridiplantae; Streptophyta; Magnoliopsida; Poales; Poaceae.